Molecule: ribosomal RNA, 407 nt
Filed under: uncultured bacterium
Lineage: Bacteria
Description: partial 16S ribosomal RNA
Rfam family: Bacterial small subunit ribosomal RNA
Source: RNAcentral
AUUGAACGCUGGCGGCAGGCCUAACACAUGCAAGUCGAGCGGAGCGGCGGACGGGUGAGUAAUGCCUAGGAAUCUGCCUGGGAGUGGGGGAUAACGUCCGGAAACGGGCGCUAAUACCGCAUACUAUCAGAUGAGACUAGGUCGUAUUAGCUAGUUGGGUGGGUAAAGGCAUACCAAGGCGACGAUCCGUAACUGGUCUGAGAGGAUGAUCAGUAAAAAUGGAACUGUGAAACGGUCCAGACUCCUACGGGAGGCAGCAGUGGGGAAUAUUGCACAAUGGGCGCAAGCCUGAUGCAGCCAUGCCGCGUGUAUGAAGAAGGCCUUCGGGUUGUAAAGUACUUUCAGCGGGGAGGCGUUACCCGCAGAAGAAGCACCGGCUAACUCCGUGCCAGCAGCCGCGGUAAUUC